UGGCGGCGGCCUAACACAUGCAAGUCGAACGGUAACAGGAAGAGCUUGCUUCUUUGCUGACGAGUGGCGGACGGGUGAGUAAUGUCUGGGAAACUGCCUGAUGGAGGGGGAUAACUACUGGAAACGGUAGCUAAUACCGCAUAACGUCGCAAGACCAAAGAGGGGGACCUUCGGGCCUCUUGCCAUCGGAUGUGCCCAGAUGGGAUUAGCUAGUAGGUGGGGUAACGGCUCACCUAGGCGACGAUCCCUAGCUGGUCUGAGAGGAUGACCAGCCACACUGGAACUGAGACACGGUCCAGACUCCUACGGGAGGCAGCAGUGGGGAAUAUUGCACAAUGGGCGCAAGCCUGAUGCAGCCAUGCCGCGUGUAUGAAGAAGGCCUUCGGGUUGUAAAGUACUUUCAGCGGGGAGGAAGGGAGUAAAGUUAAUACCUUUGCUCAUUGACGUUACCCGCAGAAGAAGCACCGGCUAACUCCGUGCCA
RNAcentral lists this ribosomal RNA (482 nucleotides) under uncultured Escherichia sp. RNAcentral's name for it is "bacterial SSU rRNA". It matches the Rfam family "Bacterial small subunit ribosomal RNA", at positions 37 to 510 of the family's 1533-position model. The record is from RNAcentral. Lineage: Bacteria; Pseudomonadati; Pseudomonadota; Gammaproteobacteria; Enterobacterales; Enterobacteriaceae.